UUGCCUCUCCAGUGCUGAAUCCUCUGUACGAUGCAAAGGCCGAGUCUCAGAUCAAUGCGUGGUGCGCCGAGUUUCUGAAGUUGCAACCUGGAAGCGAGAAAGCUGUCUUUGUUCAAGAAAGCAGGCUUGGAUUGCUCCCGGCUUAUGGUUACCCCAGCAUUCCAUACGAGAAGAUUGUUCCGGUUGCAAAGUUCUUCGCUUGGUACUUUCAUGCAGAUGACAUUCUGGAUAGCCCGGAGAUCUCCUCGUCGGACAUGAGGAAUGUGGCAACUGCAUACAAGAUGGUUUUAAAGGGAAAAUUCGACGAGGCCACGCUUCCAGUGAAAAAUCCGGAGCUGCUGAGGCAAAUGAAGAUGUUAUCUGAGGUCUUGGAAGAAUUGUCCCUCCAUGUAGUGGAUGAAUCAGGCCGAUUCGUGGAUGCUCUGACCAAGGUGAUCGACAUGUUUGAGAUUGAAUCGAGCUGGCUUCGCAAGCAAAUCAUUCCCAACUUGGAUACAUACCUCUGGCUGAGAGAGAUCACAUCUGGUGUGGCUCCUUGCUUUGCUCUGAUUGAUGGUUUGCUGCAACUUAGGCUGGAGGAGCGUGGCGUGCUGGAUCAUCCUCUCAUACGCAAGGUUGAGGAGAUUGGGACGCACCACAUUGCGCUCCACAAUGACAUGAUCUCGUUCAGGAAGGAGUGGGCGAAAGGAUACUACCUCAACGCCGUGCCCAUUCUCGCCAGCAAUUGUAAGUGUGGCUUGAACGAGGCAAUUGGCAAGGUUGCGAGCAUGGUGGAGGAUUUGGAGAAGGAUUUCGCCCAGACAAAGCAUGAGAUCGUUUCAAGUGGGCUUGCCAUGAAGCAAGGAGUCAUGGACUAUGUGGACGGGAUAGAGGUGUGGAUGGCCGGAAGCGUAGAAUGGGCAUGGACGAGCGCUAGAUACCAUGGAAUUGGGUGGAUCCCUCCUCCAGAAAAAUCAGCGACCUUCCAACUCUAGAUUGUUGCUCAAAUAGUAAAUAAUAAUUUCUCUCAUGGAGUGUUUUAGAAAUUCAUAUCUAAGCAGUGUUUUCGUCCUGAACAAGCAAAUUGAAAUGCACGGUAGAUGUGGUAACAUCAAGCACGCAGCUCAGAUCUUCCAUGCUAUGGCCAAGAGGGACAAGUUCAGCUGGGAUCUUUUGCUGGUUGCCUACUGCAAAAACGGGCACUUUGAUGAAGCGCGAAGGUUCUUCAGCUGCAUGCCGUGCUGGAGCCUUGUGUCAUUUACUACUAUGAUUUCUGUUGCCUCCCAGAGAGGCCAAAUGCAAGAAAUACAAUCCGUUACAAACUUGAUGCCAGAGCACGAUCUUUUCUCUGUAAACGCGGUGCUUUUUGCAUUUGCCGAAAAUGGGCAUCUUGAUUUUGCCAAGGUAGUCUUUAGCAAAAUGCCUGCUCGCAACUUGGUGUCGUGGACGACGAUGCUGGGGGCUUUAUCUCAGCUCGCGGAUGUGGAAAGCACUUUUGAAGAGAUGCCGGAGCACGAUGUCGUCUCGUGCACUUGCGCAAUUGCAGCAUUCUCCCGUCACGGGCAUCUGGAGUCUUCUCUGGAGCUCUUCCACGCCAUGCGUGUGAGGAAUCUCUCGACUUGCACGGCAAUCCUCUCCGGCUACGUCCACUGCGGCCUCCUGAAAGAGUCUGAGCGCUUCUUUCACGAUCAGAUGCCACAGCACGAUCUUGUCUCCGUCACAACGCUGCUCGUCGCCUACACCCAAAGCCAACGCCUUGAGGAAGCCAGCUGCCUCUUUGAUUCUCUUCCGUACGUAGAUGCCGUGUGUUGGAACGCCAUAGCCACGGGAUUUUCCCAGUGCGGCCUCCUGGACGAAACCACGAAAAUCCUCGACAAAAUGCCGGCAUGGAAUCUUGCAACCUGGAACACGCUGCUAACAUCACACUCCUUGCAAGGGAAUCUUACCGGGGCUAUAAGAGUCUUUCACGAAAUGCCAGACAAGAACUUGGUGUCGUGGAACGCCAUGCUCUCGGCAUAUGCCCAAAACGGGCAUCUUUCUCUUGCAAGGAAGGUGUUCCAAACGAUGCCCUUGCGCAGCGUUGAAUCCUUCAGUGCAAUGCUGACCGCAUAUGCCCAAGCCGGCAGCCCCAGCGACGUGUUUGAUUCCUUCGAAGAGAUGAAGCUAGUGGAGAUGCCCGACGAUUCCUGCUUCACUUUGGUGCUGAUUGCGAGCAGUCAAGUUGGCGAGCCCAAAGUCGGCGGCUCCUACUUCAGCUCCAUGCGUCUGGAUUACGGGGUGGUGGCGAGGAAGCAACACUACUGCUGCAUCGUGGACAUGCUGGGGCGAGCGGGAUACCUGGAUGCGGCGGAAGAGCUUGCGCAAACCAUGCCUUUUCUUCCCAACUCGUGGGACUGGACGUCCAUGCUAAGUUCUUCCAGACGCGAUAGAAUCUGGAAAAACGGUGCUCGAGUGACGAAACGAGCUUUGCUUUCGGGCCCCAGCGAUGGAGCUGCUCUUGUGCUGCUCGCAAACUCACGCUCCUCUUGAUUCUUACUACUUUUCCGAAACUUUACCUUUAUAGAAUGGGUUAUCGAAUUUGGGCUCAUAAUGGAGCAAGAAGCUCAAUCGUUCUUCGAUUCGGCCCCGCCUCUCCGAUGGACGAUGUGGUCGCGAGCGUGAAUCGCUUCUUGGAUAUCUGGAAGGCGGCAUCGGCCAUCGGCCAAGGUUUAUCCUUACUAGCAUUUCUCAUAUUUUGGAGCCGAAUCGCGUGAUUCUAGAGGAGGCGCAUUGCCGUUGUUACAUCCGGGGGCACGACCGUGCCCUUGGAGCGACGAUGCGUUAGGGUCAUUGACAAUUUCAGCUCGGGGAGUCGAUCGGGAGUCGAUGAGCAGCCUCCACAGAGUGCGUUAUUCUUUUCUACUCAUUCUUCUUUUAUGAUUUUUCUUUUUUUUUUUUUUUUUGCAAGGUACUUUUGGCUGCAUGCAAGAAUGUCUCGAGCCUGUGGAUGGAUCAAUCCGGGGUAAGUGAAAUCUGCCAUUUAUUUCUUCGAGAGUUUAACUCCUGCUUCGCAGUACGAGAAAAAUGGUUUGAUGUUGUGACUCGGGCAGUCACAGGACAUCAUUCUGUAAGCUCAGUUCUUGUUUCUCUUUUUGAGUUCUUAAGAAUCAAAACAGGCGGUGCUCCAGAAGAAGCUGUUGAAGCUCGAGUUCACUACGCUCUUCGAGUACCUCCAAGUAAGAAAUGUGCCGCGCAAACACUGGUUUCUAUGACGGUUUUUCGUGGCAGAUUUUAGAGAUUGUUGGAGCUGCCAUGAAACCAGUUGGCAGGCAUGCUAUGUUUUACUUUGCAGCGGCUGUCUCUGACUUCUACAUCCCUUGGAACUCCAUGGUAAGAACUUCUCGUCUUCUCUUGUUUUGUUUUCGGUGGAAAUCUCAAAAAUAAUCUUCUCUAAGAUCCUGUCAAAACUAUCUCACCGAAAAAUUAAAUGUUUAAAGUGUCAGAUAUAUUUAGGUUAAAUAUAUUCAGGGAAGAAGCUCAAAGCAAUCAUUUCCUUAAAUGAACGAAACCAUUUUUAGGGUUGGCAGUCCAGGAGGAGCGUGGGGUUUUGAUAAAUUUAUAUGGAAUAAUAUACUCUAGGAAAACUAGUGUUGAUUAUACUUAUAUAGUGGGUGAUAAUAUAAGAAUUAGAGAGUCUAAAGUUAGAGUAAAUAUUGAUGGAUAAAUAGAGUAAAUUAGUGAAGUAUUUAAGAGCUAACUUUAAUUCUAACCUGUCAGAAAGAUUUACUUAUAAGCUUUUUCUAAAUUCCUUGUAUGUGAGUUUUAAUCCAAGAUCAAACAAUAUAUAAAGCUUUUCACUUGGGUUCUUUUAUUUAGAGUGUAAAAAAAGUUUAAAGCAUUCUUAUGCAUUUCUAAGUAAUGCAGAUAAAUCUUAGAUAAAGCUUUUCAAUGAACUCUAAAACAAAAUUUUAGGAAUUAGCAGUUACAAAAUCUUUAUAUUUUUUUAUUCAGAUAUGUGUUUGUUAGUUUUAAUGAGUGUUUUGAGAGUAUUUGAGUGAGAUUUUUAAAUUUACUUUUUUACAAGAUUGUUAUAAAUGUUUUUAGAGUUUGGUUUCAUGAUUUUUAGAGUAGUGUACAAAAAGUUUAAAAGUUUUUUUUAAAUCUUUUUGUUAGUUUAUGCUUAUAAGGAAUUUUUAAAAGUUUGAGAGAUUUUUCUUAUAUAUUUAUCCCUUGUAUCAUCUUAUCGUUUAGUUUAGUGCCCUUGAGUAUAUAUAGCUAUUUGAUGUCUCAUGUAUAAUCAUCUCUUUUGAUUGAGAAACUUUUACUUGAAUGGAGAACAACAUCUAAUAUAUAGUAAGUGUAUAAGAGGUUAUAAAGUGUUAUAAAAAGUGAUUUUAAAAUCCUUGAGUGUUUAGCAAGCAUAAAACCUUGUGAUUGAGCUCUCCAAGCUCUAGACUAACAUCAUAGUAUAUACAUAGUUUUUGUAUUUGGCGCAUUUUAGAAGUUUAAUGUCUAUUCAUAUGCAUUAGUCAAGUGUUGUUGCUAUAUAAACUCCUCUUUGGACACAUAUAACUUAAAGGAAUUCUUAAGGUUUAUAUGCUAGUAAUUAUUAGACAAUGUUGUUGGUAAAUGAGUCUUCAUCAUUUAUAAUAGAUUCCAAAGAAGAGCACAAUUAAAACAUUACACCAAUGGUGGCAACUAUUCAUAUCCUUUAUAGGGCAAUGGACUUCCCAAAGUUCUAUCUUGGAUCAAGUAUUUUGGCUUACAAUCAUAUUAAUCAAUUUCAAACUUACUUAAGAUACAACAAAAUCACCAAAGAUGCUUUGUCCCAAGAAUUAUUCUUGAGAUCCUUAAAAACAAUAGUAGUAGAUUGGGCAUCUUUCUUGCUUCCAAAUGAAUGAUGGUCAUUGUCUACAAUGAUUGACAAAUUUCUCAAACAAUUUAGAAUGGAGAAAACUAACUAACAACUCUACAUAAACUGUUUUAAGUUUGGCAAAUGCUGCAAAAGAAUAUCAAUAACUACACUAUCCAAUUUAAAAAGUAUUAGUGUGCAUGUUUGCUAUAGACAGAUGAGAAGCCCAUGGUGUCAGCAUUCAUCCAAAACUCAAGCUUGAAGUGCAACACAAAGUCCUCAAGUGCCAACAUGAAACUUGCAAACUAACAUUUAGCUAUGCAUUAAAGGACAUGCUCUUUGAGCUUGGCAUGCACCAUGACAUCCACUCUUAACCAGGCUUCCAGGCCCAAAUGUGUGCCAUUCCCAAUCUACCACAUGUUGUUAAAGACAAGAUGCCCACAGUGAUUGAGUUGGUGCUUAAUGAGCUUAAAGAGCAUUGAGCAUUUGUGCAACAGUAGACUCAAUAGCAAGAGAAGCUUGUGGAGGAGCUACAAUCUCUUAGGAUGUAGACUGAAACUCGGUGGCAUCAUUACUGGUGCAAGAAAUAUAACGUUGAUACACACAACAUUGCAAGAUGUUGGAACUCCAUCUAGAACUUUGGCUUUAGUGACCACAGUGAGUCCAAUGACAACCACUUGCAAACAACACAACCCUAGCUUCGUCCUCCAUAGAUUAUCAUGAGAAUGACAGUCUGGGGCAUUGAGCCAAACAUGGUGACUUACAACAGCUUGAUCCAUGGCUUAUGCAUGACCAACGGGGUAGACUCCACACUUUUGCUGAUGGAAGAGAUGACAGCAACAGGGUGCCUUCCGGAUAUCAACACCUACAACACACUUAUUGAUGGCCUUUGCAAGACAGGAAGGGUGCCAGAAGCGAACAGGCUGUUUGGAGAAAUGAAGGCCAAGUUUUGCAACCCAGAUGUUAUCACGUACAGCUGCUUGAUUGGUGGGUUUUGUAAGCUAGAUAGGAUCAACAUGGCUUGCACGUUGUUCGAUGACAUGCUCAAGCAGGCAGCCCUCCCCGACGUCGUCACAUUCCCGACACUAGUGGAAGGAUACUGUAAUGCUGGACUGGUGGAUGACGCCGAGAGGCUUCUGGAAGAGAUGGUUGCUAGUGACUGCUCUCCAGACGUGUAUACGUACACAAGCCUGGUCGACGACUUCUGCAAAGUCAAAAGAAUGGUGGAGGCGCACAGAGUUCUCAAGCGAAUGGCCAAGGGGGGGUGUACAGGAGCUUGACCGGUGGCUUCUGUGGGACUGGGGACCUGGAAGAGGCUCACAAGAUGCUCGAGAGACUGGAGCACAACGAGAACCGUUGGAAAAUGGAUCUGCCAAUCCAUGCCUACCACAGGCCAUCCAACCAUAGCUCCGAUACCAUAUUGGAAAAUAUGGUCUACUAGACAGGCCAGGGAUUAAACCCAAGACCUCCUACACUAGUGCCAGGUGCUCUACCACUGAGCUACCUGCCCUGGUUGUGUGCAUGUUCAGCUUAGUUCUAACAAGAACUGCAAGGCAGAUAUGUUCGCGUACCGGAUGAUGAUGGACGGGCUGUGUAGAACCGGGAGAAUGAGCGCAGCUCUGGAGCUUCUCGAGGCCAUCAAGCAGAGUGGCACGCCUCCUCGCCACGAUAUCUAUGUGGCGUUGAUCAGGGGGCUGUGCCAGGGGAAAGAGCUCCGCAAAGCCAUGGAAGUUUUGGAAGAGAUGACGCUCUCAAGGAAAGGCAGGCCAAAUGCCAAGGCUUACAAGGCGGUGAUCCAGGAGCUAGCGAGAGAAGGGAGACACGAAAAGGCAAAUGCACUCUCAGACGAAUUACUUGGUAACAAAGGCCAGUAAAACGAGAUUUGUAAUCACAAAUCCGGAACAUUGUGUGAACACUAUCUGGGAUGUUUCCUAAGGUUUUUCGCAGAAAUCAGCAACCAUUCAACUAUUUAGUUUGAAUUUGCUUCUAAUUUUAUCUAUAAAAGCCCUCUUUCAGUGUUUAAAAUUCACUUAGGAACUCUUCUUUCAUGGCUCUUCCAUCCAUUGCGAGGAUUUUCGCAGCAGAGAAAAGCUAUUCCAUUCCACCAGUGUGUAAACUCCUUGCCUCUCCAGUGUUGAAUCCGCUGUACGAUGCAAAGGCCGACGCUCAGAUCGAUGCGUGGUGCGCGGAGUUUCUGAAGUUGCAACCUGGAAGCGAGAAAGCUGUGUUUGUUCAAGAAAGCAGGCUUGGAUUGCUCGCGGCUUAUGUUUACCCCAGCAUUCCAUACGAGAAGAUUGUUCCGGUUGCAAAGUUCUUCGCUUGGUUCUUUCUUGCAGAUGACAUUCUGGAUAGCCCGGAGAUCUCCUCGUCAGACAUGAGAUAUGUGGCAACUGCAUACAAGAUGGUUUUCAAGGGAAGAUUUGACGAGGCCACGCUUCCAGUGAAAAAUCCGGAGCUGCUGAGGCAAAUGAAGAUGUUAGCUGAGGUUUUGGAAGAACUGUCCCUCCAUAUAGUGGAUGAAUCAGGCCGAUUCGUGGAUGCUAUGACCAAGGUGCUCGACAUGUUUGAGAUUGAAUCGAGCUGGCUUCGCAAGCAAAUCCUUCCCAACCUGGAUACGUACCUCUGGCUGAGAGAGAUCACAUCUGGUGUGGCUCCUUGCUUUGCUCUGAUUGAUGGUUUACUGCAACUUAGGCUGGAGGAGCGUGGCGUGCUGGAUCAUCCUCUCAUACGCAAGGUUGAGGAGAUUGGGACGCACCACAUUGCGCUCCACAAUGACUUGAUCUCGUUCAGGAAGGAGUGGGCGAAAGGAAACUAC
Molecule: long non-coding RNA, 7625 nt
Filed under: Selaginella moellendorffii
Lineage: Eukaryota; Viridiplantae; Streptophyta; Lycopodiopsida; Selaginellales; Selaginellaceae
Description: long non-coding RNA (SMOE_LNC001169)
Source: RNAcentral